RNAcentral lists this transfer RNA (74 nucleotides) under Flavobacteriales bacterium. RNAcentral's name for it is "tRNA-Pro". It matches the Rfam family "tRNA". Rfam says of the family: Transfer RNA (tRNA) molecules are approximately 80 nucleotides in length. Their secondary structure includes four short double-helical elements and three loops (D, anti-codon, and T loops). Lineage: Bacteria; Pseudomonadati; Bacteroidota; Flavobacteriia; Flavobacteriales. The record is from RNAcentral.
CGGGGUGUAGCUCAGCCCGGUAGAGUGCUACGUUCGGGACGUAGAAGUCGGAGGUUCGAGUCCUCUCACCCCGA